Molecule: ribosomal RNA, 133 nt
Filed under: uncultured bacterium
Lineage: Bacteria
Description: partial 16S ribosomal RNA
Source: RNAcentral
AAUGGCGCAGCUUGAUGCAGCCAUGCCGCGUGUUGAAGAAGGCCUUCCGGGUUGUAAAGCACUUUCAGCGGGGAGGAAGGCGGUGGGAUUAAUACUCUCACCGAUUGACGUUACCCGCAGAAGAAGCACCGGC